AGGAAAGGAUCUGAGCACCGUCAGAACUGAUGUCUUCGCUUGUCUCAGGCCAGAACAGAAGGGAGAGAAGGAAGAGAGCACUUGCUGAUGACAUGUGUUUCCCUUUUGUGAUGAAUCUCUUGCUGAGUUCCUGUAGCUUCUGAAGAGAGAGAAGCUUGGAGGACCCAGGCCGAAUACAGUUGCAACUCAGACUGUCCAGGAGCUCAGUGAUCCAGAUCUGGGGGGAGAUCCCACAGGACACCAUUCGCCAUCUCAUUAGGAUCAUGUCCCAAUGUCAUCAGCCGUCUCCAUCAACAUCGUUUGAAGCUUCCAUAACAAAAAGACCCAGAGCUGUUCUAUGCUUCUAGUGGAAUUGCGAGCAUCAUCUUCAGUGAUUGUGAUCAGCUCCUGUGGCCAUGAUGGAGCUCAAACACAAUGCAGCCACACCUCAUUUAUUCCAGCCCAGAAAAGUUAAACUAAUUUAAUCAAGG
This is a long non-coding RNA of Archocentrus centrarchus (flier cichlid), 470 nucleotides long. RefSeq lists it as uncharacterized. The record is from RefSeq and is a predicted model, not a curated record. The transcript has 3 exons. Lineage: Eukaryota; Metazoa; Chordata; Actinopteri; Cichliformes; Cichlidae.